Molecule: ribosomal RNA, 428 nt
Filed under: uncultured bacterium
Lineage: Bacteria
Description: bacterial SSU rRNA
Rfam family: Bacterial small subunit ribosomal RNA
Source: RNAcentral
GUCGAGAAUUUUUCACAAUGGGGGAAACCCUGAUGGAGCGACGCCGCGUGGAGGAUGAAGGUCUUCGGAUUGUAAACUCCUGUCAUGCGAGAACAAGAAAGUGAUAGUAUCGCAAGAGGAAGAGACGGCUAACUCUGUGCCAGCAGCCGCGGUAAUACAGAGGUCUCAAGCGUUGUUCGGAUUCAUUGGGCGUAAAGGGUGCGUAGGCGGCGUGGUAAGUUGAGUGUGAAAUCCUGGGGCUUAACCUCAGAACUGCACUCAAUACUGCCAUGCUUGAGGAAUGUAGAGGAGAGUGGAAUUCACGGUGUAGCAGUGAAAUGCGUAGAUAUCGUGAGGAAGACCAGUUGCGAAGGCGACUCUCUGGGCAUUUCCUGACGCUGAGGCACGAAGGCCAGGGGAGCAAACGGGAUUAGAUACCCCAGUAGUCC